AAUAAAAUUUGUGAGCAAAUAUCAUUAAUUGAUGUAGUUCAAGGAGUGGCUGUUUGGCACAUUUCUAUGGAGGUGGUAAUUCAGAUGCAUAACCAGAGAAACACUGAGGGGUUUUGCUUUUUUUUUUUUGGUUGAUUUUUUUCUUUUUUUUUCCUAUAAUGUUGCAGUUGUUUCAGAGUACAAUGAGAUUUUUUGGCAUAGAAGUGCUGCUGUAAUUGGUUUCUAGGACUUUCUUGAUUUGACUUAAUUGGACAUUUUGAAAGGUUGCCCAAAUACGUGGUUGGAUUUUGCCAAUUUUCAAUCAAUGAUUAAUAAAGCUCAUUUGGAGGAUCAAUUAGAGUUUCAAAAAGAAGAUUUUGCACCAGAAUUGUUAUACAACUAAUGAAUUCUACUUUAUUAAUGAACAUUUUCAAUGUUGAAUGAUGAAAAACAGUGCUAUAGUGAACAGUAAAUGCACAUUUUUUAAAAAUAAUUUCGUCCCUUCAGCUUAUCAUUAUGUUAUUUCAGGAAUUCUAUAAUCAGGGUGGGGAAACACUUUAAUUCUGGUUUGUAGUGAUACUUUUGGCAAAAUUCUAAUUGUUGUUUUUGAAAAAUCAUUAGACUCUUAAAAAAAUGGUUUAAACAGGAAAUGGAUAUUUGCCCCAGACAAAGACUAGAGGAUGUUGGCCAAAUACCUUCAGUUAACACCAAAAUGUUUUGAAGUGUUUCAUGGCACUUAGAGAAGAUUGGCCUCAGCUAGCAUUAAUAAUAAAUGGAAGUUAAUCUAAA
This is a non-coding RNA of Cyanistes caeruleus (blue tit), 768 nucleotides long. NCBI's taxonomy places the organism in Eukaryota, Metazoa, Chordata, Aves, Passeriformes, Paridae. The record is from RefSeq and is a predicted model, not a curated record.